This 531-nucleotide ribosomal RNA is filed under the name Neopseudatrichia canei. RNAcentral describes it as "partial 16S ribosomal RNA". It matches the Rfam family "Bacterial large subunit ribosomal RNA", at positions 1808 to 2606 of the family's 2925-position model. Lineage: Eukaryota; Metazoa; Arthropoda; Insecta; Diptera; Scenopinidae. The record is from RNAcentral.
CAAAAACAUGUCCUUUUGUUUUUAAUUUAAGGUCUGACCUGCCCACUGAAAAUUUUAAAUGGCCGCAGUAUUUUAACUGUGCAAAGGUAGCAUAAUCAUUAGUCUUUUAAUUGAAGGCUGGUAUGAAUGGUUGGACGAAAUAUAUACUGUUUCAUAUAAAAUUUUAAAUAGAAUUUUAUUUUUUAGUUAAAAAGCUAAAAUUAUGUUGAAAGACGAGAAGACCCUAUAGAUCUUUAUAAUUAUAUUAUUUAUUAUUAUUUAGAUUUUUUCGUUAAUAAUUAUUAUAAUUUUUUUGUUGGGGUGACAUUAAAAUUUAUUUAACUUUUAAUAUUAUAAAUACAUUUGUUUAUGAUUCAAUGAUCCAUUAUUAGUGAUUAAAAAAUUAAGUUACCUUAGGGAUAACAGCGUAAUCUUUUUAAAGAGUUCUUAUCGAUAAAAAGGAUUGCGACCUCGAUGUUGGAUUAAAAUAAAAAUUGGGUGUAGCAGCUCAGUUGUUUAAGUCUGUUCGACUUUUAAAUUUUUACAUGAUCU